RNAcentral lists this non-coding RNA (242 nucleotides) under Clostridium sp. RNAcentral describes it as "T-box sequence". It matches the Rfam family "T-box leader". Rfam says of the family: Uncharged tRNA acts as the effector for transcription antitermination of genes in the T-box leader family. T-boxes are found upstream of many aminoacyl-tRNA synthetase genes and some amino acid biosynthetic genes usually in Gram-positive bacteria. Lineage: Bacteria; Bacillati; Bacillota; Clostridia; Eubacteriales; Clostridiaceae. The record is from RNAcentral.
UUAAUUGCGUUGAUAGGGAAGGACUGCGGGUUCCCUCCGCAUUCAGAGAGCUGCCGGGUGGUGCGAGGCGGCGCGGAGUCUGCACGAAAUCGCCCUUGAGCAGGAGGCUGAAAGGUUUGCCGAGUAAGCCGUCCCGGAACUCCCCGUUACAGGAGGGCGCAUUGUUGGAUGCGUGACGAGAUGCCGCCGUUUUGGCGGCGGAUAAGAGUGGUACCGCGGAGCUUUCAGCUUUCGCCUCUUUG